Molecule: non-coding RNA, 46 nt
Organism: Angiostrongylus cantonensis (rat lungworm)
Lineage: Eukaryota; Metazoa; Nematoda; Chromadorea; Rhabditida; Metastrongylidae
Source: Rfam
CCAACGGCCCUCUUUAGGGCCACAAAUGGCAGAAUGCGAACAUAUU